ACGAACGCUGGCGGCGUGCCUAAUACAUGCAAGUCGAACGAACCGCGACUAAGUGCUUGCACUAAGUCAAGGUGAGUGGCGAACGGGUGAGUAACACGUGGGUAACCUACCUCAUAGUGGGGGAUAACAGUCGGAAACGACUGCUAAUACCGCAUAGGACAUAGGAUCACAUGAUCCAGUGAGGAAAGGUGGCGCAAGCUAACGCUAAGAGAUGGACCCGCGGUGCAUUAGCUAGUUGGUAGGGUAAAGGCCUACCAAGGCGAUGAUGCAUAGCCGACCUGAGAGGGUGAUCGGCCACAUUGGGACUGAGACACGGCCCAAACUCCUACGGGAGGCAGCAGUAGGGAAUCUUCCGCAAUGGACGCAAGUCUGACGGAGCAACGCCGCGUGAGUGAAGAAGGUCUUCGGAUCGUAAAGCUCUGUUGUUAGAGAAGAACAGCGCAUAGAGUAACUGCUAUGCGUGUGACGGUAUCUAACCAGAAAGCCACGGCUAACUACGUG
RNAcentral lists this ribosomal RNA (501 nucleotides) under uncultured bacterium. RNAcentral describes it as "partial 16S ribosomal RNA". It matches the Rfam family "Bacterial small subunit ribosomal RNA", at positions 29 to 507 of the family's 1533-position model. The record is from RNAcentral.